GUACUACCGACAAGUCCCAAACUAGGACGAAACAGUUGUCCAGUAC
This 46-nucleotide non-coding RNA is filed under the name Trichobilharzia regenti. The record is from RNAcentral. Lineage: Eukaryota; Metazoa; Platyhelminthes; Trematoda; Strigeidida; Schistosomatidae.